Molecule: long non-coding RNA, 181 nt
Organism: Labrus mixtus (cuckoo wrasse)
Lineage: Eukaryota; Metazoa; Chordata; Actinopteri; Labriformes; Labridae
Exons: 2
Source: RefSeq, a predicted model, not a curated record
UCUUUGCUGCAGCCUCCACCUCUUUUGGCCUCUUCACCUGAGGGCCUCCCCCUUUCAGAGCCUCCUGUGACGGCUUCAGCUCCAACUCUCCCGUUAAUGUUUUAUGGAGGGCCGGGUCAACUUUCUACCAAGGAAAGCAAAGUGAACACAAACAGAAAACACCAAUGUGAGUAUCAUUUAU